GAUGAACGCUGGCGGCGUGCCUAAUACAUGCAAGUCGAGCGAACGGACGAGAAGCUUGCUUCUCUGAUGUUAGCGGCGGACGGGGGAGAAACAGGUGGAAACCUUCCUUAUAUGACUGGGAUAAUUUGGGGAAACGUUGGCUAAAACGGAAAAAUCUUUUGAUCCUAAUGGUUCAAAAGUAAAAGACGGUCUUGUGGUCACUUAUCGCUGGUUCCGCGCUGUAUUGUCUAGUUGGUAAGGUAACGGCUUACCAAGGCAACGAUGCAUAGCCGACCUGAGAGGGUGAUCGGCCACACUGGAACUGAGACACGGUCCAGACUCCUACGGGAGGCAGCAGUAGGGAAUCUUCCGCAAUGGGCGAAAGCCUGACGGAGCAACGCCGCGUGAGUGAUGAAGGUCUUCGGAUCGUAAAACUCUGUUAUUAGGGAAGAACAUAUGUGUAAGUAACUGUGCACAUCUUGACGGUACCUAAUCAGAAAGCCACGGCUAACUACGUG
Molecule: ribosomal RNA, 497 nt
Filed under: uncultured bacterium
Lineage: Bacteria
Description: partial 16S ribosomal RNA
Rfam family: Bacterial small subunit ribosomal RNA
Source: RNAcentral